This 225-nucleotide ribosomal RNA is filed under the name uncultured bacterium. RNAcentral's name for it is "partial 16S ribosomal RNA". It matches the Rfam family "Bacterial small subunit ribosomal RNA", at positions 524 to 747 of the family's 1533-position model. The record is from RNAcentral.
UACGUAGGGGGCGAGCGUUGUCCGGAUUUAUUGGGCGUAAAACGCUUGUAGGUGGCUACGUCAAGUCGGACGUGAAAUCUCCCGGCUUAACUGGGAGGGGUCGCUCGAUACUGGCGAGCUCGAGGCAGGUAGGGGGAAGCGGAAUUCCCGGUGUAGUGGUGGAAUGCGUAGAUAUCGGGAGGAACACCAGUGGCGAAGGCGGCUUCCUGGACCUGUUCUGACACU